This 591-nucleotide long non-coding RNA is filed under the name Phoenix dactylifera (date palm). RNAcentral describes it as "long non-coding RNA (PDAC_LNC009403)". Lineage: Eukaryota; Viridiplantae; Streptophyta; Magnoliopsida; Arecales; Arecaceae. The record is from RNAcentral.
GCUAGUUUCCGUGGGGGUUGGCUUAAAUAGCCACAGAAGACUGUAGCAAGGCAGAGAACAGUCAUUCCACUCCAACUAAUCAAGGAUUCAAGCUCUGCAACAUGCUCUUCAAUGAAAAAGGGAAGAUCUGCAUUUACAGCUCCACCUACAUCUUCCCAGCAAUUAAAGCCUUCUCCUCCAGCAUUCAAGUCGAUUACACAUUCGAGAGGAGACCGGAGUUCAAGAAGCCAUUCCUCUACUUCAGCUUAAAAGCGUUUGAGGGCUUCUAAACUCCUCUUUUGAUUAUAUUGUUUUACAUCUGCUUUUGAGAAGCUUAUUUUCCUUUCUUUCUAUAACUUGUAUUUACUUGGUUCAAUCGGAGGAUUGAAUCAAGGGGACUAAGGUUGGUUGGUGAGCCAAGUUAAAAACCAACGUGUGUAAGGGUUUGAUUGUGAGCCCGAAAAAACAAUCGGGGUUGGUUCUAGUCGGUGAGCCUGGGAAAACCGACCGAGUUCGUUGUGAGCUCGUAAAACAACAAGUUUGGUUGUGAGCUUGCAAAACAACCGGCUGUAAUCCAAGGGGGUUAUAGUGAAUUCCCAAGAGAGACUUGGA